Small nucleolar RNA from Ornithorhynchus anatinus (platypus), 136 nucleotides. NCBI's taxonomy places the organism in Eukaryota, Metazoa, Chordata, Mammalia, Monotremata, Ornithorhynchidae. The record is from RefSeq and is a predicted model, not a curated record.
CCCCUCUCAGGAUCACCCCUGGAGACUUUCCAGUAGUCUACCAGUCUCGGGUACGGGAGGGAGAGUCAAGCAGAGGCAUACCCAUUCCAUUCCUAGCUUGGGCCAUGGUUAGCGAGUGGAAGGCAAUGCUACAAGU